RNAcentral lists this ribosomal RNA (253 nucleotides) under uncultured prokaryote. RNAcentral describes it as "partial 16S ribosomal RNA". It matches the Rfam family "Bacterial small subunit ribosomal RNA", at positions 525 to 777 of the family's 1533-position model. The record is from RNAcentral.
ACGUAGGUGGCAAGCGUUGUCCGGAUUUAUUGGGUUUAAAGGGUGCGUAGGCGGCCUAUUAAGUCAGUUCUGAAAUAUCCCGGCUUAACCGGGAGGGUGGGAUUGAUACUGAUGGGCUUGAGUGGACUCGAGGUAGGCGGAAUUGACGGUGUAGCGGUGAAAUGCUUAGAUAUCGGGAGGAACACCAGUGGCGAAGGCGGCUACCUGGACCAGCACUGACACUGAGGCACGAAAGCGUGGGGAGCAAACAGGA